GACGAACGCUGGCGGCGUGCUUAACACAUGCAAGUCGAACGGAAAGGCCCUGCUUUUGUGGGGUGCUCGAGUGGCGAACGGGUGAGUAACACGUGAGUAACCUGCCCUUGACUUUGGGAUAACUUCAGGAAACUGGGGCUAAUACCGGAUAGGGGCUCCUGCUGCCUGGUGGGGGUUGGAAAGUUUCGGCGGUUGGGGAUGGACUCGCGGCUUAUCAGCUUGUUGGUGGGGUAGUGGCUUACCAAGGCUUUGACGGGUAGCCGGCCUGAGAGGGUGACCGGCCACAUUGGGACUGAGAUACGGCCCAGACUCCUACGGGAGGCAGCAGUGGGGAAUAUUGCACAAUGGGCGGAAGCCUGAUGCAGCAACGCCGCGUGCGGGAUGACGGCCUUCGGGUUGUAAACCGCUUUCGCCUGUGACGAAGCGUGAGUGACGGUAAUGGGUAAAGAAGCACCGGCUAACUACGUG
This 468-nucleotide ribosomal RNA is filed under the name uncultured bacterium. RNAcentral's name for it is "partial 16S ribosomal RNA". It matches the Rfam family "Bacterial small subunit ribosomal RNA", at positions 28 to 507 of the family's 1533-position model. The record is from RNAcentral.